GUUUCCUACUUAAUACAUUCCAAAUCGAGUUCAUGAAUCAUUUUUUAGGAUUGAGAAAAAAGACAUUGGUGGUGCUUUAGUGAGUGUGAGAAGCCUGGGCUUCUCUGGGUUUGACUUAUUACAUGAGAUGCAGAACAGACCUGGUCGGCAAAGCAGGCUUCCCAGUGAACAGGCUCAGAGCUUGAGUUGAGUUUACAGUCCAGCCCACCUGGUCUUCCUGGUCCCAGGAGAAGAGAGUACGCCUUUUAAGUAAGGAGGCUGUUUCAUGUGAUGACAGCACUGAGAACUAACCAAGUCCUUACCUCACCUUCUCUGACUUCAUCAUUAGCAUAUGUCUCACAGCCUAGAACAUUGGUGUCCCGUACAACAUCCUCUGAUGAUGAAAAUGUUCUAUGAUGUAUGUGGGUAUUGAGCACUUGAAAUAUGGCUAAUGGAACUGAGGAACAGACAUUUUAUUUAAAUUUAAAUCUCAAUACUCAUUUAGUCCCCAUGCAAAUCAUAAGGAGCACGUAUUAUUAUUUCCCCCAUUGGAGAAGUGAAGAACUGAGGCAGAGAGAGAUUUAGCAGAGGAAGGAAGUGGCCAAGUUGGGAUUUAAACUCUAGGCAGUGUAUCCAUGGAGUUUAAACAGCUGUGUCUACUUUGCUUUCAACUGUAGGGUAAACUUGCUCUUCUUUAUGGCUUGCUUACAUUUAAUUAUUUGUGUGUCUAUGUUAUUACCACGUUUGUUUAUCCAUAACAUGUGUCAGUGAUUCUUCUUGAAGCUUUACAGUCUUCUUGUUUACCAAUAUCUCUAACAUAGCACAAGCUUCCUUAAUAUGUGGGUUACUGACUAGCUCCCUGACCAGCAUAUCACUCCACCAAAGCAGCGCUUCUGAAUCUUAAAUGUGCACAGAGUCACAUGAAAUACAGGUGGUUUCUGAUUCAGGAGGCCCUGGUCGGGCCUGAGAAUUUGUACUUUUUAACCACCUUCUAGGUGAUGCUGAUGGUGCUGGGUGAUCUAGUGGCCACCCUUGGAGACCCACUGAUGUAAACCAUGCCCAGUGCUACCGUCAGGCUAAAUGACUUUAAAAUAGAACUGUUAAUACUUUUAGAAUUCUUUUAGUGAAAGACACAAUCUUCCAUGGUUAUUUUUUGAUCUUGUGUGCUGCACAAAUAGUAUGUGCACUCUCUUUUUGCCAAGAGAUGAAAAUCCAACUAAAAAUAGUAAGGGAAGGAAGGGAAAGAAGAAAGGGAGCAGGAGGAAAGGGAGAGGGAAGAAAGAAGGGAAGGAAAGAAGAAAAGUAAAGGGAAAGAUUAUAUAACUGAGAUGCCAGGGGUAGGUCACAUCAAACCCUGUAGAUUCAUAGAAAUUGCUACCUGGUACACACCAGGACAAAUCUGACCACGAAGCUAUUGUGAUCAGAAUAAUAUUUGAAAAAACCAAAUUAAAAUAUUUGUGUUGGAGUAUGUCUCCAUUUCCCCAUGAUUCCACUAAUCCAUUUUGUUUUACAGAUACCCCUUUACAAUUUUCUGUUAUCUCCCUGUCAGUUAAAGACUUCAACGUUUGCUACUCCAGUUUAGGAACAACAAAACAAGGCAUCAAGAUAUGAUCAUUGCCCAUCUCUACUUUUUCUUUCCUCAAAGAGGUUUUUGUAUUUUCACAUAGGCUGUCUUGACAUGGUGUUAAUAAUGACCUUGGCCAGCUUCAGGCUCACGUGAAUUUUGGUCACAGUAAUCUCAGUGAAAAGAGUAUUUGCUUUUUCCUAACAGACUUGGUCUACUUGGAACUACUUUCCAUGAUUUGUAGAAUGUAUAGAAUUAUGAACCAGAAUUCCAGUAAUUUUACCUUUCAUAAGAAACUCUUACCUGAGUUAUGCCUUAAAGUUAGGUCCUCCACCAAAUUGUAAGUUGGUAAAAGUAGCUAUGUAGGGUAACUAUUUCUUACCUCAAAGCUAGUUUAUAUUACUCAAUAUCCUUUGUGUAAAGAUUCAUGUGAUAUCACUUUUAGAAAUUAAUAGGCUGGAAAAAUAUCUGAAUCAACAGGUAUAGGUCUUCAAUUGGAAAAACUAAUUUUCCCAUUAUAAUUGAUGAAAAAUUCAAAAUUUAAAUUGAUGCAUAAAUUACUACAUUAUUCUAAAGUUUAUAAACAUCUAUAAUUUUAUAUCAACUAUUUAGAAUCUCAAUAUAAUUUUUCUGAAAAUUCCCUUGAGUUAUUUUCAUUUUAUUCUUCCUUAAGUAGACUAAAGAAUGCAAAAGAGUGAAGAAUAGCAUUCUUUGGGAGAAGUAGGGUAUUUCCAUUCUAUUACCUCCUUCCUGGAAAUUACAAAUCGAGGCCCUAAGUGUUAAAGAUAAAAAAUAAAAAAUUUACAGCCAAGACCUGUGGCUUAAUUUUAAGAUCUGUUUCAUAAAAUGGUACAGUUUUAGAAGUUAAAGUCUCAUUAAUUUCCAUUUUAUUCAUUGGAAAACAGAAUCUGGGGCAAUAUCAGCUGUGAUCUGCAGCCAGCACUUUCUGGUUGAUAUUACAAGUAAAAUUUAUUGAAAUAAGAAGUGAGAACUUCAGAAGGAGACUGGUAAUACUGAAAUUCUUUAAACUGAAACUAGUUAUAAUAGAACAGUAGAAUAAUGAAACACAGCAAAGCAUCACAUGUUGCUAUUAGACAUCAAUCUUUACCCUUGAGAUCUUCCUUUUGCAAAGUCUAAAUCGUUACUAUGGUUUCAAGUAUAAUUUCUUUACUUUGGCACCAAGAUUAAUGCAGAAUACACAGUAUGUAGAAUGCAAAGUUAACGACAGUUCUUUGAAUGACUGAAAUGCAUGAAGUCACGAUACACAUCAUAUUUAUUCAUCAUUUGAAAAGUUGUUGACAAUUCUCUUGGUGUGAGGCAAUUUGCUAUCCAUUAUCAGAUGCUGGUAAAAACAUUAAAAUGACAUGAUUUAUGCAGUGGGUUUUAUGAGCUGUGUUAUUGAGGUGUUGCCUUCCUUUUCAAAAAUUAUUCAAACAAUGUGCUUCCUUUUUCACUCCAUCAGUUCCUACUUAGUGUGGGACAGAACAUUUGAGAGUAACAGCCAUCUUCUUCACUUACUAGGAGUGUGACCUAUGACCAGGACACUCUGAACUUUAACUGGCCUCUAAAAUGAGGCAUUUGAGCCAAAGCACUAUUACAUUCCUAUCCAGUUCCAGUAAAGGGUGUUUAUUUCUGUAGUAUAUUUCUAUUACCCAAAUAGUGUGCAUUCAUUAUAGAGCAUUAUUUGAUCCAAAAAGCAAAAUUUUUUUUUAAAGUGAGAGAUAUCCGUGGUUCCAUUCUGCAAUAUGAAAUAUUUUGAUUCUAUCGUGAUCCUUCUAGCUUGACCUCAGCCAUCAGUCAUUCCCGUAAGGAGUUCAUUUCUACAAACCAGAGAUUCAUCUCUAGUCAUUAAUAUUUUUAAUGGUAUGGAGAUAAGAUGAUGGCAGUUAAACUUGAGAUCCUCAGUUUUUAUCAUCUUUCCUACAGAGAAGAAUGAUCCCCAGGACAAAACUUGUAGUGACCACUGCUAUAGGGGAUUGCUGCCAAUGUUGCACUGGUUUGACUGAGCAAAGGAUUCUGGAAUGUUCAGCCACUAGGAAAACUGUCCCUAGCAUAUCAUUCAGAGGUAUCAGGAGACAUUCACGCUUAUUGAAUCAGAAAUGGGAAAAAAUCAAGAUAUAUGACCUUAGUUUCUUGGAAACAGUGAAGAUUGCCUAUGCUUAUUUCAGGGGAAUCCACAAUAAAAUAAAAUAUGUUUUGCUCUCAAUUUCUUGGACUUUUUAAACUGUUGAGCCAUUCGAGCCCAAGCAAAACAAACUGUCUUCGUAAAAGUUUAUUUCAUUUUGUAGGGGAUUUGUAUUUUAUGCAAUUAUAAAAAAUUCAAGUAUGGGAAAAACAUAAUAAAAUAUUAACUGUCAGGAAGCUCAGUUUAGUUUAUGAUUUUAUGAGUCUGCUUUUCUGCUCUAUGGAGGGAAGUUUAAUGUUGCUGCUGAUAGUAACUUAGUUGCUUCUGGUUUAAAAUUCAAUCAAUUUGGGAUUAACAUUAUCACUUUCUUACCCAUUAUCCCCCUCCCGCUCCUUUGGGAGCUUCUGGGUUCUGGAGAGUUUCACUAAAUAGGUAUGGGAACUGGGUUUGUAAUUGAUUAUAUCUUCUUUCAUUGCUGGCUUCUGCUAAGGUGUGACUCAUCAUAGUAGGUCAAGAAUUGGUGCCCUCUGUUCCUGAUGCAUCUACUGCUGAGGUGCUCUUCCCACCAUGACAUCCAGUUCUCAGGUCCAUAGGCACCACGUCUUCUUGGACCCAACCUCAAUGUCUGUUCACAUAAUUGUGGUCUCUCAAUGAAUUCACAACUCUCCUGAUGUCUCAAAAUACCCAGCUUUUCUAUCAUACACUAGCUUGUACAGGACUUAGACUGCAUUCAGGUGCUAUCUAGGCCCUUAAACAGUGAUUUUCUACCACACAGGUACCAUGCUAGUUGCCAUUUCUCUAUAAGACUUACCAUAUCUCACACAGCAUCCCAGAAAACUCUUCUUCUCUGAGGUUACACCCAAACUUAUUGAUGUAUAUACUGGAGUAUCAGUACCCUUGCCUAACCUUCAGAUUGGAUUUAUAGCAGAAGGGGCCCUGGGACCCAUUACCAGAAAUCUAGAUCCUAUAUAUCACUAUUAUUUUCCUGCCCAUUGGUGAAAUUCUUUUCACCUUUUGAUGAGAGAACAUCUCGUAGAUAAUCAUAAGUUUCUUUCUCACCUUAAGUUUUAGAUGUGAUUACCAUAUUUUAAGACUUACAGGACUCAGAAAUUAAACAAAAAAACUUUUUCUCUCAAGUUAUUUUUUUUAUAGCCAUGGCAUUCAAGAAUAUUUGUUGCUUCUACUGAAAACUUUUCCAUGUCCUUUAAAGAGUAGAAAAGCCAAGAACAUAAUAAUUGUUCUUACGUUAUCAGCUCUUUCUGAAAACAAUGCAUUUAUUGAAAAAGUAUGAGAAAAGGAGAAAAUUAACUGAAAAAACCCCACACAGUUGGAUAUCAAAAUGUUACGCCACUACAGUUAAAUUUACAUAUUCAAUAAGUGUUUGAAAUAGCUUUGUCUUAAUUUUAUUUUCAUUAAGAAUUUAGAUUUUAUGAUUUUUAUUUUCAAGAAUGGAAACAAUUUAUUAUGUUAUGCUUAAAGGAAGAAAAACAGUAAUUGGUUCUUAAAUUAGGGGUUGCCUAUAUUCUAACUACAGCAAAUCUCAUUUAUAUACUGUUUAUUUUUUCCUCAGUAUUUUUGCAUUUUAGAAGCAUUAUCACAACAACUAUCUAAAAUGAAAUAUUUUUCUCUUCCAUUUUCUUGCUGGAAAAAUUUGGUUAAAAGAGAUAGUUAGCCAAAAUGAAUCAACAAAUAAAUAAGAUGGAGUUCCCUGUCAUGGCUCAGUGGUUAACGAAUCCGACUAGGAACCAUGAGGUUGUGGGCUUGAUCCCUGGCCUUGCUCAGUGGGUUAAGCUUGCGGCAUUGCUGUGAGCUGUGGGGUAGGUCACAGACGCGGCUCAGAUCCCGCACUACUGUGGCUGUGAUGCAGGCCAGCGGCUACAGCUCUGAUUCGACCCCUAGCCUGAGAACCUCCAUGUGUCAUAGGAGCAGCCC
This 5600-nucleotide long non-coding RNA is filed under the name Sus scrofa (pig). RNAcentral describes it as "lncRNA (ENSSSCG00035072431.1)". The record is from RNAcentral. Lineage: Eukaryota; Metazoa; Chordata; Mammalia; Artiodactyla; Suidae.